RNAcentral lists this ribosomal RNA (490 nucleotides) under uncultured bacterium. Its description in RNAcentral is "partial 16S ribosomal RNA". It matches the Rfam family "Bacterial small subunit ribosomal RNA", at positions 28 to 507 of the family's 1533-position model. The record is from RNAcentral.
GAUGAACGCUAGCGAUAGGCUUAACACAUGCAAGUCGAGGGGCAGCAUGGUCUUAGCUUGCUAAGACUGAUGGCGACCGGCGCACGGGUGCGUAACGCGUAUGCAACUUGCCUCACAGAGGGGGAUAACCCGUCGAAAGACGGACUAAUACCGCGUACACUUGGGAUAGGGCAUCCUGACCCAAGGAAAUGAAAUUCGCUGUGAGAUAGGCAUGCGUCCCAUUAGCUAGUUGGUGAGGUAACGGCUCACCAAGGCGACGAUGGGUAGGGGAACUGAGAGGUUGAACCCCCACACUGGUACUGCGACACGGACCAGACGCCUACGGGAGGCAGCAGUGAGGAAUAUUGGUCAAUGGGCGAGAGCCUGAACCAGCCAAGUCGCGUGAAGGAUGACUGUCUUAUGGAUUGUAAACUUCUUUUAUACGGGAAUAACAAGAGCCACGUGUGGCUCCCUGCAUGUACCGUAUGAAUAAGCAUCGGCUAACUCCGUG